Non-coding RNA from Python bivittatus (Burmese python), 275 nucleotides. Lineage: Eukaryota; Metazoa; Chordata; Lepidosauria; Squamata; Pythonidae. The record is from RefSeq and is a predicted model, not a curated record.
CAACAAGAAGCUGAAAGAAAUUCAAGCCCAAAGAUUGCUGAGAUUCUGUCUUAAAGGCAACUGUCUGUGACAUCAUAGCGGUCCAUAAAAAGGUCCAGCAAGUAGAUGGCAAGGUGCCGAGCUGUGGGACAAAGUUGGCAACGGCUGCUGAGGACAGUAAGGAGGGUGCAGAACGGGACACACUACUCCAAUGGAAUCUGACCAGGCACUAUAAAGUUGGAAACAUUACUUCUCCCAAUCUGGUUUCCAGGCUCCUGUUAAUGUACCCCACAAUA